This is a long non-coding RNA of Dreissena polymorpha, 1123 nucleotides long. RefSeq lists it as uncharacterized. NCBI's taxonomy places the organism in Eukaryota, Metazoa, Mollusca, Bivalvia, Myida, Dreissenidae. The transcript has 3 exons. The record is from RefSeq and is a predicted model, not a curated record.
GUUGUUGCUGCUGUUGCUGCUGUUAUUGUUGCUGUUGUUGUUGUUGGUGGUGUUGUUGAUGCUGUAGUAAUUAAAGUAGUAGUUCUGCAGAAGUAGGAGUAGUUGUUACUUUCAAAGCAAUUUCUACAAGUUUAAAUUCCUUAACCCUGUCCAAGUGGUAUACACACUGUUUUUUCUCAAUAUCAAACUCAGCCAGUCCAGGUUGUCAAAUAACAAUCUAUCUGAUAAGCCAAGCAUGUUUUGUUCAUCAGAUGUUGGGUAUGUUUGCUGCAAAUCUAUUGGUUAUAAGAUAUAACAGCCUUUUCUAAUUGGCUGAAUUCAAAUACAGAAAGUUUACCUGUUAGAUUGAAACAUGAAACAUGGUGGACAAUGUACUGGUUUAACUUGUUAAAAUAAAGUUAAAGACAUUUAACAAACAGAAGAGUUCAUUAGUUUUUCCAUUAAAAACACUUUCUUAAAAUACUUAUGUAUUUAUAUAAUUUGGAAAGUGACAUGAAAUAUUGCUAAAGAGUGAUGCAUACAGUGUUUGAGCAGUCUGUCUAGGAAUAGAACAACAACUGAAGUUGAUGGAAGAUACUGCAGAGUUUGGCAGGGAAAUAAUCCAACAGCAAAGCGGCUCUUUAAGCGCAUUUACCUAGAGGACUUACAGGGCCACAAAUUCAUGAGCACAUGUGAGCAGUAUACAAUGUACCUCAUACCAAAAAGGACCCGGAGGCAGUGACUGGUGUUCAAUAUUCUCAGAAGAAAAGGAAAAUGGCAGUGGAAGACUUGGACAAACAUUUUUAAAAACUAGCCUCUGUGUUAAGCCUGGCAGUCUGUGGCUGGUGACAUGUUUUAUUUUGGUUACUUCUUGUAUAAAAAAGACCAGUUAUUUAUUUUGUGAAUUGUAUUUUGUGUUUGUUUUUGGUCUUAAUUUAUUUGUUGUUUUUUUUAAUUUAGGAAUUUGAAACUUGGAUAAUUGAAUUAAGUCCGUGUUCAACAGUACUGAGCAUAGUAUAAUAAAUAACCAAUUUACAACAGUUGUUAAUUUGUUAUGUAUUAUUAUUAACUAUGCUCAGUACUUGAAUACUGGCGGUCUGCAUGGGAAUUUGUUUUCUAAAAAGUUGGUUUCAGACUAAAAUAU